GACAGAGGGGGCAAGCGUUGCUCGGAAUUACUGGGCGUAAAGGGCGCGUAGGCGGGAUGGCAAGUCGGUCGUGAAAUCCUUCGGCUCAACCGAAGAACGUCGAUCGAUACUGCUGUUCUUGAGGGUUGCAGAGGAGACUGGAAUUCCCGGUGUAGCGGUGAAAUGUGUAGAGAUCAGGAGGAAUACCGAUGGCGAAGGCAGGUCCCUGGGUUGACACUGACGCUCAUGCACGAAAGCGUGGGGAGCAAACAGG
This 253-nucleotide ribosomal RNA is filed under the name uncultured bacterium. RNAcentral's name for it is "partial 16S ribosomal RNA". It matches the Rfam family "Bacterial small subunit ribosomal RNA", at positions 524 to 776 of the family's 1533-position model. The record is from RNAcentral.